GAAAGGUCAUUUAAAUUGGCAGAAUAUAAAAAGGAAAUAGGAAAGGCAUAUUCCAGGAUAACUUUUUUCAUUUGCCUUGAAAAACACUAUAAAAGAGAGUACAAUACCUCCGAUUCUGAUUCUGAAAUUGUCAUCACAACAAGGAGCAGAGCUGAAUUAAAUCGAGCUGACACUUUGGUUUUUGAACCACAAAAUCAAAGUACUCCCAAAUACAAACUGGAAG
Esox lucius (northern pike) is the source of this 223-nucleotide long non-coding RNA. RefSeq lists it as uncharacterized. The record is from RefSeq and is a predicted model, not a curated record. The transcript is spliced from 3 exons. Lineage: Eukaryota; Metazoa; Chordata; Actinopteri; Esociformes; Esocidae.